RNAcentral lists this ribosomal RNA (451 nucleotides) under Odontotermes lacustris. RNAcentral describes it as "partial 16S ribosomal RNA". It matches the Rfam family "Bacterial large subunit ribosomal RNA", at positions 1854 to 2597 of the family's 2925-position model. Lineage: Eukaryota; Metazoa; Arthropoda; Insecta; Blattodea; Termitidae. The record is from RNAcentral.
UGGCCUGCCCGCUGAUUGAAGGGCCGCGGUAUUUUGACCGUGCAAAGGUAGCAUAGUCAUUAGUUCUUUAAUUGUGAUCUGGUAUGAAUGGCUUGACGAGACAUGGGCUGUCUUUUUGAAUUUGUAUUUUGAGUUAAAAUUCUUAGAUGUUUUUAUGGGACGAGAAGACCCUAUAGAGUUUNACAUUUGGUUUUUUGUUGGUUUUAAAUUUUUGCGUUUGUUUUGUUGGGGUGAUGGGAAGAAUUUUUUAACUCUUCUUUAUUGGUAUAUUGAUUUAUAUUUAUUUUGAUCCAUUUAUUUUGAUUAUAAGAUUAAAUUACCUUAGGGAUAACAGCGUUAUCUUCCCUGAGAGUUCUUAUUGGCGGGGGGGUUUGCGACCUCGAUGUUGGAUUAAGGUUAAUUUUUGGUGUAGGAGCUGAAUUGAUUAGGUCUGUUCGACCUUUAAAAUCUU